UCAGUGUCAUGUAUAACCAAGUUACUGUCAAUCCAAAAAUUUCUGCACAUCAAUAAAAAGAUAUCUAAGAACUUAGGAACAAUAUUCUUCUCACUACUGUAUAAAAAUAACCACAAUUAAUAGGUAUCUUGUGUAAUAUUUACUCCAUUGUCUCGUUUCCCGAAACUGUGACAAGCUGUAAAGGUAUUUCAGUGUUGGUAAGAAUAUCUUGAUUGCUGGUGCCAGAUGUAUUAACAGUUCCUAUUCCUGAAACAGAACCUUGUUGAAUAUUUGCAAGGAUAAGUGUUGUUCCUCCCGCAGUAAUCAAAGUAUCAUCAGAUGUUGCUUCUACUGAUGCCAGCACUGUACUGCUGGAGUGAAUACCUUUCUUAUUCUGGUGUGUUUUAAUGUGUUUGGCAAGAUGGUCACUUCUCAUAAAGCGUUUUGAACAUUCCGGACAGACGAAUUUCUUCUCACCUGUGUGCGUUCUUCGGUGUCGCUGAAGCUCAUCGCUGCGAGUGAACCUUUUGCCACAGAACAUCCAAUUACAAACAAAUGGACGCUCUCCAGAAUGCCAGCGGAGAUGAGCUCUCAGAUGUGAAGUCUUCCCAUAUACUUUGCCACACCCUGGUAUGUGACAAAUGUGUUGCUUCUUCUUUCCCAAGUUGGAGCCUCUUCCACCACCUUCUUUGCAGUUGGGACACGUGCAAGCUACUCGUCGCAGUCUUUUUCCCUCUUGAUGUGGUUGGUCCCCUUCCUCAUCUACCACC
RNAcentral lists this long non-coding RNA (749 nucleotides) under Gallus gallus (chicken). The record is from RNAcentral. Lineage: Eukaryota; Metazoa; Chordata; Aves; Galliformes; Phasianidae.